Molecule: unclassified non-coding RNA, 153 nt
Filed under: soil metagenome
Description: partial internal transcribed spacer 1
Source: RNAcentral
GCGAGUUCUAAACUCCCAACCCUCGUGGACAAACCUACCGUUGCUUCGGCGGGGCGCCCUGAUUCGGGGCGCGGCCCCCUCGGGGCACCCGCCGGCGGCACGCAAACCAAACUCUGUCUUCUGGUGAAUUCUGAGUAAAUAACAAAUAAGUCA